This 604-nucleotide long non-coding RNA is filed under the name Mytilus galloprovincialis (Mediterranean mussel). Lineage: Eukaryota; Metazoa; Mollusca; Bivalvia; Mytilida; Mytilidae. The record is from RNAcentral.
CAAAAAUGUGUAUUAUUACAAAACAAAAGCAAAAGAAAUAAUGUUAGAAAGACCUAAGUGUUAUAAGAGAUUCUCUAAUUGUUAGCCAAUUUAUCCUUUUCCUAAUCUGUUAAUUUUUCAGAUUAGCUUUGGUUCUUCAUUUGAGAUUUUUAUUGGUCAAACUUGAAAUAUGAUGCCAUUUUUUUUUUACUUUUCUUAGAAUUUCUUAUGGAUGUCAUGGAAAAGGGACUAUGCCUGAUGACAUCACAUACAAAAAACAUAUCUUUUUGUAGAUCAUUGGUAAAGAAGGAUUAUGUUUGUAUACAUAUAUAUAUAUAUUGUCUAUAAAUUAUUAAAAAAGCAGAUUCCACCACCAAAUCUUGUGCAAUACAUUAUUUUUUCAUUCUUUACAUUCAAAAUUCAAAUAUUAAAUAGGCUUAGCAAGCUUCAAGUUUAAAAAUUUGAAAAUUUAACUGUCUGAAGUGGAAAAAUAUUGUAGUGCACUCAAUGAAGUGAUAAAAUCUAUUAAAAAAUAUCUAUUUUCUUAACACAUAAAGGAAAACAGUCAAAACAGUCAUAAUUAUGUUCAUGGUAUCACUGAACAGACUAUGUAGUCAUAUUUAAG